GGACCAUCCUUGACUCCCUGCAAAAUCCGGAUUAUUUUUACAAGAGAAACAUAUGAAAAGCUCCAGAGGCAGAAAUACAUACAGACCUUACCGACAUGGACUCGCCUCCUGUGAGAAAAAAAGACAAAUGCAAUCUUCCCACUUCCAGCAGCUCCAGAAGUGCAAAUCAGCCCCAUCAGAAAAUUUACCAGCAGAGCAGGGAAUUACUCUCAACCACUGGCCAGGAAGGAGGCGGAAAAUAUGAAUU
Long non-coding RNA from Xyrauchen texanus (razorback sucker), 247 nucleotides. RefSeq lists it as uncharacterized. NCBI's taxonomy places the organism in Eukaryota, Metazoa, Chordata, Actinopteri, Cypriniformes, Catostomidae. The record is from RefSeq and is a predicted model, not a curated record. The transcript is spliced from 4 exons.